GCAACUCUAAGGGUAAAUAAUGAUGUAGAUAUUAUGCUUUGCCCUCGGUAACCCUCGGAAGUUUACGAGACUAUUGAGCGAUUUUCAGUUUGAUACAGGAACGGAGUACUUCUAUGAAAACAUGGGAGAUUAAGAAUUCUUUAUUUAUAUUUUUCGCAUUGAUUCGAUACUAAUGAUAAUUUGUGAGGUGUUUUUUAAUUUCUUUUACAUGAAAUACAAAUUAAAAAGAGUAAUGCAUCUUUGGAUUAUUUUCUGAUUGAAAAGGCGGUUUUAUUUCACCAUGUUCACAUUCGAAAUCGACGGCCGCUGUGAUAUUUUGUGAAGUUUACAGAUAGCCCAAUUCAACCAUGAUUCAUUGAGGAAAAACACAGCAAGUGGAAUAUUAUUUCAUAAUCCUUCAUUCUACGAUAUUGUUAUUUGAGAUAUAAUAGUAUUAUUCAUCACUAUUAUUUACUAUUUAUUCGUAAAUCAACACAGAAUCGUUGGCAUAUUUCAUACCAUGCGCUAAAGUAAACUAUAACACAAGUCUUAGGAAUAGAUUAGCGUAUAUAUUUCUUCAGCAAACAAUGCAUUAGUAAAAUGUGAUAUUAUAUAUAAUAAAUAAAAUGCAAUUCAUACUCUUAGUGUUUGGAACAAUUCUGCCUCUUGUCGUCAGCCAUAGAAUUCUGACAGCAAAGAAACAUGGAGCUGACGCCGUCCUAUUCAUUUUAUUUCCCGAGGAAGAUGUUCCAGCUGAAGCUUACAAACCCCUAGG
Molecule: long non-coding RNA, 754 nt
Filed under: Mytilus galloprovincialis (Mediterranean mussel)
Lineage: Eukaryota; Metazoa; Mollusca; Bivalvia; Mytilida; Mytilidae
Source: RNAcentral